AGUAACGCGUGAGGAACCUGCCUUUCAGAGGGGGACAACAGCUGGAAACGGCUGCUAAUACCGCAUAACACAUAGGUGUCGCAUGGCAUUUAUGUCAAAGAUUUAUCGCUGAGAGAUGGCCUCGCGUCUGAUUAGCUAGUUGGUAGGGUAACGGCCUACCAAGGCGACGAUCAGUAGCCGGACUGAGAGGUUGGCCGGCCACAUUGGGACUGAGACACGGCCCAAACUCCUACGGAAGGCAGCAG
This 245-nucleotide ribosomal RNA is filed under the name uncultured bacterium. RNAcentral's name for it is "partial 16S ribosomal RNA". It matches the Rfam family "Bacterial small subunit ribosomal RNA", at positions 109 to 354 of the family's 1533-position model. The record is from RNAcentral.